RNAcentral lists this long non-coding RNA (306 nucleotides) under Chinchilla lanigera (long-tailed chinchilla). Its description in RNAcentral is "lncRNA (ENSCLAG00000022962.1)". The record is from RNAcentral. Lineage: Eukaryota; Metazoa; Chordata; Mammalia; Rodentia; Chinchillidae.
GCAGAACCUCAGCGUUACCACAGGGAGUUUUCAAAGUGCAAGGCUUUCUCUUCAUCAGCAAGUCUUAAACACUAAAGGAAAAAGGACAGAAGAAAAGAAUGAAACACGGAUAACGAGCAAGUUUUCAAUAUGAAUUAAGGGCUGCAAAUGUAGAUACAAAAUUCAGAAGUAAAAAUUCUUCCUAAAUGGAAAAGACUCACAAGUAUAUAAUUCCAUAAAUAAAGUAAAUAAAAGACCUUAGUGACAACAAAGCACACAUGUCUUUUUUCUAAAGAAGUGGCGUACACAUGUAGAAUGUUUCAAAAU